Non-coding RNA from Callorhinus ursinus (northern fur seal), 1686 nucleotides. Lineage: Eukaryota; Metazoa; Chordata; Mammalia; Carnivora; Otariidae. The record is from RefSeq and is a predicted model, not a curated record.
CGGAGGCGGCGGCGGGAGGGGCGGAGGCUGCGGGCAGCCCCAGCGCGGGCGCGGGAGGAGAGAGGCCGAGCCCGCGGCCGCGUGGGGACGACCGGAGGGCGAGCGGCCGGAGCGGCGGGGGCCCCUAUGGGGGUGAAGCGCGCCCCCGCGGCCGGCGCGGGCCCCGACCCGAGCUCGGGAGCCCGCCCCGGCUGGGGUGCGACCGCGUUACCGCGUCGGCCCGUGGGACGCGGAGGGGCGCCCAGUGCGCGGAUAACACCGUGUAUCUGAAUUUGCCGAACGUUUAUCUGUGCUUGCUCCUUAAAAAGGUAAGAUCCCCCCCUCCCCAAGAACCAACUUCUGCCCGCUUUGAGGGAAUAUGGCCUCCGAUGACAACGCAGGGUUUAGGGGACAUCAGAAGGGGCUUCGUGGAGGGAGUGGCGACUAAGAUAAGCCUUUAAGUUCGAAGUGGUCACUGAAGGAGCCCCUCUUUCCCCGACUUCUGAAUUGAGCCCGCUGAAAUCGAGGAUGCCGCAGUAGCCCAGAAGGAGGGCGGCCGGAGCCAGACCCCGACCAAGGCGAGGAAAGCGCUUCCCGGUGCCGUUUUUUCUUCGGGACAGCCCAGUCGCUAGAGCUCAGUGGGACCGCCUCCUCCCUCCUCGCCCUACAAAAUGGGGGAACUCGCUCCAGCGCUCCACGUGGGCUGGGGGCGGCUGUGGUUCAGCCCGCGGGACUUUCACUUGAUGCUCGGCUCUGGGUGUGGCAUCAUCUGCAAUGGCACCCGAUCCUACAGCGGAGCCCCUCAUUUGUCUGAGAAAAAAGAAUAAAAGGAAAGAACUUGCUGUCCCACCGUGAAGAGAGUGGUGGGCCUCCUGUCUCCAGCCGUGGCACCUCUAGCAUCUGCUACAGAAUUUGCGCCAAGGCCCUGUGCUUCUGGGAGGUUCCCCAUGGAGGGAUCACAGUGGACCCUCCAAAACUGAUUCAGAUGAGAAGCAGGCAGCAUUUGGAUGAUGUGUGCUGCCAUGACGGCGGGCAGGCACCGGACAGUGGAGAGGACUUAUCAACAGUACCAGCCAAGGAAUGACUGGUUUCGCCCUGGAGGGCUUGGGGAAGUCUCUCAUAGGAGGAACAUAAGCAAAGCGGGACUUAUCUGACACCGGAGAAGACACUUGGAGGGACAGAUGGCUGAAGUCUGGCUCAGGGAGAAAUCUACUUUGGAGCAGAAUGAGGACGGGCUCUUGGUAAUGCGGUUGAGGACAAACACAGUGGCAGAAGGAAAUCUGCAGCCGGGGGCGAUGGCCAGAGAGAUGAGAGAGAGAAAGAGACAGGGAGACAGAGACACACAGAGAGAAAGGCAGCAAGGAGAGGAGAAUUUAGAAUGGAGAAGCGUCAGGAUGCCCAGAUCCCAGGUCUAACACUUGUAUCUUCAAUUAAAAGGCAAAGGGAUCUUUGUACUUCCUGUAAGAUGUUGUCAGGUAGCAUUCAAGAAUCUUGCGCCAAAUGACAGUCCCCCUCCAAUGCUAUGUAAGCACAUUCUUUUGCAUAAUCACUUCUGCAUAGCAUUUUUUCAUUUUUAUUGAUUUGUUUUAAUUUAAUACACAUACAAGAAUAUCUUCCAUUUUAAAAAAUUUGCAUUUCUUUAAUUGCUUUGGAGGCUGUGCACUCUAUUCUGUGGUGAUUUACUCUGCCAAUAAAUAUGUAAUCCUA